GAGGAGAAGCCCGCGGCGCAGUCUAUGGCCUCCUAGGGGGAAGGGCCUUGAGGUCCCUGUCCUUCUCCUAACAGGCGGCGACGCAGCCAUGGCCUUGCUGUCGUGGGAGUCCCAGACAGGGUAGGAAGGAGGGCCAUAGAAAGGAGGAGGGCCGAGUGAACAUGGAGUUUUGAAGGGGGAAACCAUUUGUGGUAUUUGAGUCCCGGAGGCAUAUGAAACCGCCCACAGAAGACACAUUCCAAAGUCUUCAGUGGGAACCUGGGAGAGGGCAGAGGACUGCGCGGCGCUGGAUGGGGUAGAGCGAGGAGGGUCGAGGAGGGGCGCCACAGCCCACAGAGCAGGCACCGACCUCACUGCGCAUGUGCCCUGGGCGUCUUCCCGUCGGCCCCUUUGCCCACGUGGUGAACGCGGCGGAGCUGUGAGGGUGUGAGGGUCGCGCUCCUGCUGUCUGGACUUUUUCUGUCCUACUGAGACACGGCCGACAUGAGAUGAUGAACCUCAAGUACCACCCCAGACAACAAGGCUGCUUCAUCAGGACACAAACCUGCCUGUACCAGGACCUCUGACCUGUGUGCAGCAGAAGGAGUGGGUCAACAUAGCUUCUGAAGAGCAUUCAUUGGAGUGAAUCUGCCAUUUAUUGGCUGUUCUUCAAACCAUAAGACUGAUAUUGAUGGUCAGCUUACAGAGGUAUGCUCUCUACAGGUUUUUGCCUACAUUCUAGACUAACCCUGUUUAUCCCCGUGAACCAACCAGUGAUCUCUGGCUGUAUCUCAGAAGAAACAGACAGAUGGGUAAUAUAAAGAUCUAGAUCAAUAGUCUAGUUCUGGACAA
RNAcentral lists this long non-coding RNA (831 nucleotides) under Homo sapiens (human). RNAcentral describes it as "HSALNT0118693". Lineage: Eukaryota; Metazoa; Chordata; Mammalia; Primates; Hominidae. The record is from RNAcentral.